GCUCCAGCGGCAAGAUGUGAUCCCAGCAGGGAGGGACGCCGAUAAGGUAAGUCUUAUAAAAUAUAUAGGUUUAUGAUAGUUAAGACUGAGUUAGCAGAUGGGAAGUGCUAGUCAUUGACCUAGCAGCUUUGAACCUAAUACAAGUUUCUGUGUAUUCAUUUGGGCCUAACUCGGGCAGGCAACUGGCGUAAAGCGUACACAUGGCGGUGUGGCUCAGGCGGCAUUUGGCAGAAAGAUUUAUCAUAACAGAUCCACCUGCCUCUGCUUCCCAAGUGCUGAGAUGAAAGGUGUGCACCACCACUGUCCAGCUUUAGCCAUGGUAUUAACCAUGUGAUAGACAUUGUGACAGGAGAAAAAGAGUAGAAUGAAGAAAAAUAAAAAAGCAGAGGAAUGAUCUCUUGAGAAAAACAAACUGUUCAAAAGAUUGUAUGAUAUGCUGAUGUGUUGUGGGAACUCACUCAGCCAAGUCUUUGAGGUACCAGCUUCUUCCAGCCGGGAUCUCAGGUGCUAUGUGUGGACUGGGAGCAAUCUCUCUCUUUCUCUCUCUCUCUCUCUCUCUCUCUCUCUCUCUCUCUCUCUCUCUGAUCUGAGACCGGCAUCACAGCAUCCUGUGCCUCCAGGAGCAGAAGACCUCAGUGUCUCUUUACCUCCAUUGUGUGGGUGUUCCCCAAAUAAAUAUUUGUUAUUCCUUUAUCUGGGUGUUAGUGGACUUCCUUAAUCUGCCCUCAUUGAUGGAUGAGAAAGCCUCAAGGAUCAGACAUAACAGAUUACAUUCAGUCAGGGUUAAGGAUGAGGGGGUGUUUGGAGGCAAUAGAGAGCAUGCAACAAAGUGCACAUGGCAUACAUAGUUGAGAAAGAGAAUACAGCCUACGAGCAUGAAGACAUCUGAGGGAAGCAGGAUGACUGUUUUAGCCAGGUUAUCAGUUUUUUCAAGAGGUGAAAUUGGGUUUUAAAAUGUAUGUCUUACACAUAGUGUAUGAGAGAAUGGAUUUCAUUUUAACAUAUUCAUACACGUAUAUCAUUGUACUUUGCAUGUCCCCCCCACAAUUCCUAUGUCUUGCCUACUAUUUAACACUGCUAUGCUACUCAAUAUUUUAAAAAGAUAGCCAACUUAACAUUCCUUUAUUUCUAUUUAUUUAUUCAUUUUUGAGUCAGGGUCUCUCUACAUAACCCUGGCUGUCCUGAAAAAGAAUCUGGGCAGACAUUUUAGGAAGAUUUAUAGUGGCUCAAGACAUGUGGGAAAAAAGGUUUAUGUCAUUAGUCAUCAAAAAAUGUACAUAAAAACUUGCUCUUCCAUUUACACUGAAAUGGUAUCAAUGAAAACAUAGUAUUUUUACUGAUGGAAACGUAGAGAAACACAUAGAGCCCACACACACCAUCUGUGAGGUUUUCAAAUGGCCUAGUCACUUUGGAAAGUGGACUGGUUCUUCAUUAAAAAGUUGAACACAGACCUGGAAGAUUAAGUGCAUGCACACAAGAGAUUUUUAAAAAUAACCCACAAACAAGUGGGCAUUAUUUAAAAUAGCCAAAAGAGGGAACAAUCCAAGCACCCAUAGGCUGAAAAACAAACUCACUAUAGUAAACAAACCAUUAUUUAGAAAGGAAAAUCCAGACACCACAUGCACAGAGCAAUACCAUUCUUACAAACUGUUCAGAACAGGGAAAACCAAAGAGACUCAGGGAGUGGGUAUGGAGGUUGAUGCUAACUCGAGGAGGUUUCUUUUUGUAGUAUGGAAACCUUCUAAAGUUGACUAUGGCGAUGCUUGUAUGUUUCUAUGGGUCCAGUAAAAGCAUUGGCUUGCAGUGUAAAUGGAUGGAUCGCAUGGUAUGUGAAUUAUACUUCAACAAAGCUGCUUUGUAAAAAUGUUUCACCCAAACCAGACUCCAGCACCCGGCUCCCAGUGCUGAUAUCCAUGCUCCCUAGUUCACCAGCUAUGGCUGCUCCUGUCUGUCUAGAUGGUUGCUCAUCUGAAUUGUCAAAGGGCUUCUGGAUAGAAUUUGGGCUGCUCUCAAGGAUAGUGCUUUUUCCAGACCGUGAGAUGAAAACCAGAAAAAAAUAAAAAAAGAAUCGAUACGGUAAACACUUGUGCACACGAGGAUCUGUGUAAGGCAUCUGUAUGUGGCAUUCACUUCAUCUCUUCUGCUUUGGACUUGUGGAAAACUGAUGUUGAAAGUGAAGUGUUUUUGUGUGUUUGUUUGGUUGGUUAAUUGGUGGAUGGAUGGUUUUUUUUGUUUGUUUGUUUUUUGGUUUUUUUUUUGAGACAGGGUUUCUCUGGGUAACAGCCCUGGCUGUUACAGUGUGCCACCACUGAAUGGCUCUGAAAGUGAAGUGGUUUUAACAAUGGGAAGCCUAGUAUCUCUCAAGUCUUGUUUGAGUGACAGUGUGAGGAUAGCAAGUAGUGGGCAGACUCCUCAGCAUCUUUAACAGAUAGUUUCUGUGUGUUUGUUUUGCUGCAAUAGGCACUGAACUCAGAGUCUUGUGCAUUCUCAGCAGGGGCUCUAUCAUUGAGCUACAUCCCUAGCUCAGCUGGCCAAAGGUUCUGGAUUUCAUUUGCCGGUGAUGGGCAGCAGCUGUGGAGUUUUUCCUCAAAAAUGAAAAAUAUCCAUAAGCAAUAUGAUACAGAUGCAUUUUUGGCUAAGAAGCUCAUAUUCACCUUGUCUAAUUGUUAAGCUCAGUCGUACCUUUGAGAAAUCUUGCAGUGUUACUUAAAACAGACAUGGCCUGACAAGCUCCUUGGGUGAAUUUUUGAGACUGCUGUGGCUUGCUCCUCCAACUGCAAGGUGAGUCUCCAAGAGAUUGCAUUUGAAGACCAGAAAUACAGAAAUACUGGCUAAUUUCAAGUCAUGUGUUAAAAUACUACUGGACCUAAGAGUGGAAUGCUCUGUUGCUACAAAAUGGACAAGGAGUCUGGAAAGAUCUUUCUCUGCUGAGGCUGCUCCUUGUGGUUAGUGUCUCUGAGCCAUAGAACACACCGAUGCUCCUGUUUUUCACUGAAGGAAUGGAUGAUUGUCUAAAGAAUCUUAUGACAAAAUAGUAUUCUUUCCUCAUUGCCAACAAACACCCUUCCAAACACAGUGAUUUGUUGCAUGAAAAAUAAAAGACCCAGAGACUGAUAUUGGGGUUCAAACUUCAAGUGGGUGAUCAGCAAAGCAAAGCAGCUACCACCAGCUCUUGCCUCAAGCUCAGGCUGAAAGGGCUGAUCCACACAUGAGCUCUUCACCAAGCCCCAAAUGGCUGCCUCUCCUCAGCGUGGCUGGAGACUCCUUCCUAUCCUGCUUGAUACUGAGCCUUCCAAUCUUCAGUGUGGCUGGAGAAUGAAUACCUCAUGUUGAGACCUUGCUUCUGUUUUAUAUGCCUUCCUAAUGCUGGAAUUAAAGGCAUUUGAUCACAGGUGCUGACAUCAUCUUUGUGUGAGCUGUUUCUCUUUAGGACUGGAUCAUUCUUGUAUGGAUCUGAGUGACCUUGGACUCAAAGAGAUCGUCUAUCUCUCUUAAUCCUGAGUCCUGGGAUUAAAGGUUUGUACCACCACCUCCUAGCUUCUGGCUGCUGGGAUUAAAGGUGUGUGCCUUGCU
Molecule: non-coding RNA, 3573 nt
Organism: Cricetulus griseus (Chinese hamster)
Lineage: Eukaryota; Metazoa; Chordata; Mammalia; Rodentia; Cricetidae
Source: RefSeq, a predicted model, not a curated record